Molecule: ribosomal RNA, 253 nt
Filed under: uncultured bacterium
Lineage: Bacteria
Description: partial 16S ribosomal RNA
Rfam family: Bacterial small subunit ribosomal RNA
Source: RNAcentral
GACGAACCGUGCAAACGUUAUUCGGAAUCACUGGGCUUAAAGGGCGCGUAGGCGGGCCGUCAGGUCCGAGGUGAAAGCCCACGGCUCAACCGUGGAAGUGCCUUGGAUACCGGCGGCCUCGAGGGAGGUAGGGGCGUGCGGAACUUCGGGUGGAGCGGUGAAAUGCGUAGAUAUCCGAAGGAACACCGGUGGCGAAAGCGGCGCGCUGGAUCUCUUCUGACGCUGAGGCGCGAAAGCCAGGGGAGCAAACGGG